This 254-nucleotide ribosomal RNA is filed under the name uncultured bacterium. Its description in RNAcentral is "partial 16S ribosomal RNA". It matches the Rfam family "Bacterial small subunit ribosomal RNA", at positions 524 to 776 of the family's 1533-position model. The record is from RNAcentral.
UACGGAGGGUGCGAGCGUUUGUCCGGAAUCACUGGGCGUAAAGGGCGCGUAGGCGGCCUGAUAAGUAGGGGGUGAAAUCCUGCGGCUUAACCGCAGGGCUGCCUUCUAAACUGUCAGGCUAGAGCACAGUAGAGGCAGGUGGAAUUCCCGGUGUAGCGGUGAAAUGCGUAGAUAUCGGGAGGAACAUCAGUGGCGAAGGCGGGUCUCUGGGCCGAUACUGACGCUGAGGAGCGAAAGCGUGGGGAGCGAACAGG